This 253-nucleotide ribosomal RNA is filed under the name uncultured bacterium. RNAcentral's name for it is "partial 16S ribosomal RNA". It matches the Rfam family "Bacterial small subunit ribosomal RNA", at positions 524 to 776 of the family's 1533-position model. The record is from RNAcentral.
UACGGAGGGGGCUAGCGUUGUUCGGAAUUACUGGGCGUAAAGCGCACGUAGGCGGCUUUGUAAGUUAGAGGUGAAAGCCCGGAGCUCAACUCCGGAAUCGCCUUUAAGACUGCAUCGCUAGAAUUGUGGAGAGGUAAGUGGAAUUCCGAGUGUAGAGGUGAAAUUCGUAGAUAUUCGGAAGAACACCAGUGGCGAAGGCGACUUACUGGACACAUAUUGACGCUGAGGUGCGAAAGCGUGGGGAGCAAACAGG